This 481-nucleotide ribosomal RNA is filed under the name uncultured bacterium. RNAcentral describes it as "partial 16S ribosomal RNA". It matches the Rfam family "Bacterial small subunit ribosomal RNA", at positions 28 to 507 of the family's 1533-position model. The record is from RNAcentral.
GAUGAACGCUGGCGGCGUGCCUAACACAUGCCAGUCGAGCGAAGCACUUACUUUAGAUUUCUUCGGAAUGACGAAGUUUGUGACUGAGCGGCGGACGGGUGAGUAACGCGUGGGCAACCUGCCCUGUACAGGGGGAUAACAGUUAGAAAUGACUGCUAAUACCGCAUAAGCCCACAGCUUCGCAUGAAGCAGUGGGAAAAACUCCGGUGGUACAGGAUGGGCCCGCGUCUGAUUAGCUAGUUGGUAAGGUAACGGCUUACCAAGGCGACGAUCAGUAGCCGACCUGAGAGGGUGACCGGCCACAUUGGGACUGAGACACGGCCCAAACUCCUACGGGAGGCAGCAGUGGGGAAUAUUGCACAAUGGGGGAAACCCUGAUGCAGCGACGCCGCGUGAGCGAUGAAGUAUUUCGGUAUGUAAAGCUCUAUCAGCAGGGAAGAAAGUGACGGUACCUGACUAAGAAGCCCCGGCUAACUACGUG